Molecule: non-coding RNA, 278 nt
Organism: Pelobates cultripes (western spadefoot toad)
Lineage: Eukaryota; Metazoa; Chordata; Amphibia; Anura; Pelobatidae
Source: the annotation of a GenBank genome assembly
CCUCAUUUGGUAAAUCAGUGUUUUUCUUGAAGAUUGUCCUUGGUGACACAUAUCAUUAAGAACUAAACAUAUUUAAGUAGUUAAAUUAAUGAUAUAGCUGUAAUUGUGUGCUUAAACUCCCAAUACUGCUGUGCAGCAGCAAUGACUAUACUACAGAAGGUGAAUUGACAGUGUAGGACUCCCUUGACAUGGCAGUUGACCUUACACUUAAAUAGCCAUUGGAGUGACACAAAACUCCAAUUAUUUAAAUGAGCAAAGGGACUUUUCUUUGAUUCUUU